UACAGAGGUCUCAAGCGUUGUUCGGAUUCAUUGGGCGUAAGGGGUGCGUAGGCGGCGCGGUAAGUCGGGUGUGAAAUCUUGGAGCUUAACUCCGAAACUGCAUUCGAUACUGCCGUGCUUGAGGACUGGAGAGGAGACUGGAAUUUACGGUGUAGCGGUGAAAUGCGUAGAUAUCGUAAGGAAGACCAGUGGCGAAGGCGGGUCUCUGGACAGUUCCUGACGCUGAGGCACGAAGGCCAGGGGAGCAAACGGG
This 253-nucleotide ribosomal RNA is filed under the name uncultured bacterium. Its description in RNAcentral is "partial 16S ribosomal RNA". It matches the Rfam family "Bacterial small subunit ribosomal RNA", at positions 524 to 776 of the family's 1533-position model. The record is from RNAcentral.